This 278-nucleotide long non-coding RNA is filed under the name Carica papaya (papaya). RNAcentral describes it as "long non-coding RNA (CPAP_LNC009956)". Lineage: Eukaryota; Viridiplantae; Streptophyta; Magnoliopsida; Brassicales; Caricaceae. The record is from RNAcentral.
GUAUAGGUCUAAUGCCGGAGAAAAGUAUAUGUAUACUCAUUUUGGGGAAAAUGAGUGAAACUUUGGGUUUUGAGGGGUAUUUUUUUAAAAAAAUCAGAAACCGAAGGUCAAAACGUAAUUUAGAAAAGUUACGCCAUGUCAGCUGUCUGGUUAGCAGCCCCGACCAACCAGGACGUGCCAGGUGGCAGAGACGCUGACGCGGGAGGCCAUGCGGGGGGAGCCACGUGGGUGAUCUAUGUGCGUGGAUCGAACGACUGAGAUUCGUUCCCGUGCGCACG